AAAUUACUGGCGAACAAGCUAUUUCUAUAUUUUGUUACGGAAUCUAUACAGGAAUUGAAGAAACUAAUUAUCGAAGACUGGCCGGGAUUUGAAGAAUACUAUAAAUCUUUACAAAGUAUUUAAGUUAAG
Musca vetustissima is the source of this 129-nucleotide long non-coding RNA. RefSeq lists it as uncharacterized. Lineage: Eukaryota; Metazoa; Arthropoda; Insecta; Diptera; Muscidae. The transcript is spliced from 2 exons. The record is from RefSeq and is a predicted model, not a curated record.